RNAcentral lists this long non-coding RNA (389 nucleotides) under Monodelphis domestica (gray short-tailed opossum). RNAcentral's name for it is "lncRNA (ENSMODG00000049838.1)". Lineage: Eukaryota; Metazoa; Chordata; Mammalia; Didelphimorphia; Didelphidae. The record is from RNAcentral.
AUGUGUAAACUUUCCUUUUAUUUACUCCAUGUAAGAUCCUCUGCUCUGUUUUUAAUCCUGUUCUCCUAUGUCCCAGGCUCACAGCAGACUCUUUGUAAUGAUUGGUUGGAAGGAGAUUCAGAAGGCUUCUGCUACCAUGCCUCCAUCAUGGCUCCACUCCCACUUCUUGUGAUUGAAUUCUUUGAUGACUUGUUCAAUUUCUUUUCCUGAAAUGGAAUUAUUUAAGUAUUCUAUUCAUAUUUUGUUUAUUUGGACAAUUUAUACUGCAAAUAUCCCUCCAUUUCACCCAAGUUGUCAGAAUUAUUGUCAUAUGAACACUCUUCCCUGGUGGUGAAUUAAUCAUUUUAAUUUUUGAUCCUGGUAAUGUGAUUUACUUCUUUCCUUUUUAA